Long non-coding RNA from Helianthus annuus (common sunflower), 1664 nucleotides. RefSeq lists it as uncharacterized. The record is from RefSeq and is a predicted model, not a curated record. Lineage: Eukaryota; Viridiplantae; Streptophyta; Magnoliopsida; Asterales; Asteraceae. The transcript has 4 exons.
ACCCUUUCCCCUAAAAUAAACACGCGGACACAUCUAGGGUUUCACAUCUCAUCUCAUUCUUAUCCGCCCCUCCAUCUGCUCUCUCUGGAUUCAGAUCUAGGGUUUUGAUUUCAGAGGUAAAGAUUGAAUCAUGAAGAUUUCUCCCAGAUCCGAUUUUGGUCUCGCAGAUCUGGUAAGUUUUGCUACUCACUUAGCCUAAGUUUCAGCAGAUCUGAUAUUAUAAAUAUAAAUUCACCUUAGUUUCGCUCUCUUUACGGUCAUUAAUCAUAAUGUUACGAAUCAAAAGAUGUACCUCAGCUUCUGGACAUCAUCUUUACCAAGGUAGUUAGUUAUUAAAUGUUCAUAUGGCUGGCUGGCUGGCAUUUCAAGUAAUCAUCCACAAUUUGUGUGAAUCAUGAAGAUUUCUCCCAGAUCCGAUUUUGGUCUCGUAGAUCUGUCAUUAAUCACUUUGCCCAAAUUUCAGUAGAUCUGAGAUCUGAGAUAAUCUCACCAGUGCAUGGAUCAGUACACAUUUGGAAAGCCCGAGCAUUAAAAACCUGCAAUUGCAAAGCUUGAGAUGUAUUAGCUUUUGGAAAGCUUGAGAUGUAUUCCUUUUUCUUAAACCUAUACAGUCAAGACAAAUAUUGAAGACAGUUUCAAGUUUGGCUUUAUUGCUGCUGAUAAAAGAAAAAUAACUGCUACAACUUGGGUACCCAUACUGGCAAUUAGAAUUACGUCGUGGUCACAUACGAAAGGUUAAAAGGAUAGGUAAAAAAGUAAGAAUGGUUGACUUUGAUUAGUGAAACUGAGCCAUUUCAACUCACUAGACCUUGAAGUUGAACCCAACUAUAUUAUUAAUCUUGUUUUUUGAGAGUAAAUAUGUUGGAGAGGAACAAGAGAGAGGAAGCUUGGAGAGGCUGGUUUGAAUCUAAUGGGCAAAACAUCUACUUUUAGCAUACAAUGGAGGAUUCUGAUGUUCUUAUGAUUUGGCUUCGUGUGAGCAAUGGUGGUUGCUUCGGAAUCAUGAAAAGGCAGCAAGCCUGCAUCAAGUGGAUGCAUGUUUCUCUACAAGUGAAGUAAAGACUUGCAGCAGUUACUGAAUACUGCAAGUCCUUUUCUUGUGAUCUCAGGCAACGGCUGACAUCUUAGUAGUGGUUUUAUGUACUUCAAUACUAUUUGGUCAGUGAUGCCAGUGAUUGGCAUUCGCAGCAUUUUUGAGAAAUUUUCAAUGAAAACGACAUUCAACAAGAGAGUUUCGAAAUAUCAAUUGGACAUGGUUUUUAUAAUCCUGAUUAAUACACUAUAGAUGUUCCUCUAUAAGAUUAUAAAAAAAGGUGUCGCUCUAACCUGGCCUGACCCGUUAUAAGUCGCUCUAACCUGGCCCGACCCGUUUUAACUUUUGGAGGUAUGAUUAAACCUCAGAUUACUUUCAUCUUUUGUUUUUAAUAAACACAGAAGACCUGCCCUUUUGUGACUUUUAGAAAGUCAAACCUGGUAAUUCUCGUAAACUUGAUACACAUAGAGUAGUUUUGUAAUCUUAAUUAUUUCUAUCCUAAUAUAGUGGUUCGUAAUUACCAUAUAUAUGUAUAACAGAUGAGUUAUUUAAUAUCAAUUUUGAUUAAAAAGCAACUGCUCUUGAAAGUCAAAAUUUGACCCAUUUUUUCAAGAGGUUGCUAUUGAUGAUU